GACGAACGCUGGCGGCGUGCUUAACACAUGCAAGUCGAACGGAAAGGCCCUGCUUUUGUGGGGUGCUCGAGUGGCGAACGGGUGAGUAACACGUGAGUAACCUGCCCUUGACUUUGGGAUAACUUCAGGAAACUGGGGCUAAUACCGGAUAGGAGCUCCUGCUGCAUGGUGGGGGUUGGAAAGUUUCGGCGGUUGGGGAUGGACUCGCGGCUUAUCAGCUUGUUGGUGGGGUAGUGGCUUACCAAGGCUUUGACGGGUAGCCGGCCUGAGAGGGUGACCGGCCACAUUGGGACUGAGAUACGGCCCAGACGCCUACGGGAGGCAGCAGUGGGGAAUAUUGCGCAAUGGGCGGAAGCCUGAUGCAGCAACGCCGCGUGCGGGAGGACGGCCUUCGGGUUGUAAACCGCUUUCGCCUGUGACGAAGCGUGAGUGACGGUAAUGGGUAAAGAAGCACCGGCUAACUACGU
This 467-nucleotide ribosomal RNA is filed under the name uncultured bacterium. Its description in RNAcentral is "partial 16S ribosomal RNA". It matches the Rfam family "Bacterial small subunit ribosomal RNA", at positions 28 to 506 of the family's 1533-position model. The record is from RNAcentral.